UAGGGAAUCUUCCGCAAUGGACGCAAGUCUGACGGAGCAACGCCGCGUGAGUGAAGAAGGAUUUCGGUUCGUAAAACUCUGUUGUUAGAGAAGAACAGCGCAUAGAGUAACUGUUAUGCGUGUGACGGUAUCUAACCAGAAAGCCACGGCUAACUACGUGCCAGCAGCCGCGGUAAUACGUAGGUGGCAAGCGUUGUCCGGAUUUAUUGGGCGUAAAGCGAGCGCAGGCGGUCAAUUAAGUCUGAUGUGAAAGCCCCCGGCUCAACCGGGGAGGGUCAUUGGCAUCUGGUUGACUUGAGUGCAGAAGAGGAGAGUGGAAUUCCAUGUGUAGCGGUGAAAUGCGUAGAUAUAUGGAGGAACACCAGUGGCGAAGGCGACUCUCUGGUCUGUAACUGACGCUGAGGCUCGAAAGCGUGGGUAGCAAACAGG
This 429-nucleotide ribosomal RNA is filed under the name Bacteroidota bacterium. Its description in RNAcentral is "Bacteroidetes bacterium partial 16S ribosomal RNA". It matches the Rfam family "Bacterial small subunit ribosomal RNA", at positions 355 to 776 of the family's 1533-position model. Lineage: Bacteria; Pseudomonadati; Bacteroidota. The record is from RNAcentral.